GGGCCGUUAGCUCAGUUGGCUAGAGCGCUGCUAUGGCAUAGCAGAGGUCAGGGGUUCGAGCCCCCUACGGUCCACCA
This 77-nucleotide transfer RNA is filed under the name bacterium. RNAcentral describes it as "tRNA-Ala". It matches the Rfam family "tRNA". From Rfam's summary of the family: Transfer RNA (tRNA) molecules are approximately 80 nucleotides in length. The record is from RNAcentral.